CGUAGGUGGCAAGCGGUGUCCGGAUUUACUGGGCGUAAAGAGCGCGCAGGUGGUCGUUCAAGUCGCGUGGGAAAGCCCCCGGCUCAACUGGGGAGGGUCACGCGAUACUGAUCGACUCGAAGGCAGGAGAGGGAAGUGGAAUUCCCGGUGUAGUGGUGAAAUGCGUAGAUAUCGGGAGGAACACCAGUGGCGAAGGCGACUUCCUGGCCUGUUCUUGACGCUGAGGCGCGACAGCGUGGGGAGCAAACAGG
RNAcentral lists this ribosomal RNA (251 nucleotides) under uncultured bacterium. Its description in RNAcentral is "partial 16S ribosomal RNA". It matches the Rfam family "Bacterial small subunit ribosomal RNA", at positions 526 to 776 of the family's 1533-position model. The record is from RNAcentral.